GUCAGGGAACCGGUGCGACGAUGUCCGAUGACGAAGACGACCCAAUAGACCGCGAUGCCAACCUGUUUGACGGAGGCUUGGAUGGUCCAGACAACAUGGGAUUUGGCCCUCUCAUUCCAACGGAGACAGAACGAUCGUUAAUGGAACGCGUGAGGCAAGAAUUGAAGCACAAGUUGAAGCAGGGUACAAAGAAAAAAUUGUCGAUAUAAGAGAGGAAAUUUUACGCAAGAUGGAGCGGGAAAGCUUCCAGGGGAUACUACGUCAGUCCUAAAAGCCUGGUGGCAGUCGCACGCUAGAUGGCCAUACCCUACGGAGGAAGACAAGGCGAAGCUGGUGCAGGAAACCGGUUUGCAAUUGAAGCAGAUAAAUAAUUGGUUCAUCAACCAGAGGAAAAAAAAACUGGCACGGCAACCUUCUUCGUCGUCCGUCUGAAAGAGCGAAUGCAAAAGAUCCCUCAAAAUAGACAUCGCUUCAUUAAUGCAAAACUUCCUCGAUAUUCCAUUUCCUUGCAUGCUAAGUUUGAAAAGCAGCAGCAAUUGAUCCCUUGAUGUGGAUUUGAGCAACGAUCAAGUUCUAACAGACAAUAUUCGGUGCUUCACUAGAAUGGUUACUUAAAGAGUUUAUACAAGGAACAUUGGCCAGUGGCCUCAUACAGAGCUUCAUCAAACAGGAACAUUUGGAAGACUUUGAUUCUAGGAAAAAGAGAAUAUGUUAGUGAAGAGGACGGCUCUCGCCUCGUGAUAGAAUUUCUGAAGGCACUGAAUUGACCAUAUAUGUGAUCGUGAUCAUUGAGGGGGUAUUGAGCUAGGAAAUUACGAGAAGUAAUUUCAGAUGGUUUCAUUGUCUCUACUGCUUGUCUACUUUGCAUUUUAUGAAUAUAUAGGUGUAGUUAAAUAUUUGUGUACAGUCGGUAUAAUAUUAUCUGCAUAGUUCCUCUCCAUUGCUGCUGAUUACAUCUAUGGCUUUUCUUGGCUCUCCAAUGUAGUGUAGAUUGACUGUAAGAGUAACAUACAGUUUAUGCAGUGAUAGGUUACUGGGUUUGUAUUGCUA
This is a long non-coding RNA of Eucalyptus grandis, 1050 nucleotides long. RefSeq lists it as uncharacterized. The transcript is spliced from 3 exons. Lineage: Eukaryota; Viridiplantae; Streptophyta; Magnoliopsida; Myrtales; Myrtaceae. The record is from RefSeq and is a predicted model, not a curated record.